UACGUAGGGAGCAAGCGUUGUCCGGAAUCAUUGGGCGUAAAGCGCGCGUAGGCGGCCCCGUAAGUCCGCUGUGAAAGUCAAAGGCUCAACCUUUGAAAGCCGGUGGAUACUGUAGGGCUAGAGUACGGAAGAGGCGAGUGGAAUUCCUGGUGUAGCGGUGGAAUGCGCAGAUAUCAGGAGGAACACCAAUAGCGAAGGCAGCUCGCUGGGACGUUACUGACGCUGAGGCGCGAAAGCGUGGGGAGCGAACAGG
Molecule: ribosomal RNA, 253 nt
Filed under: uncultured bacterium
Lineage: Bacteria
Description: partial 16S ribosomal RNA
Rfam family: Bacterial small subunit ribosomal RNA
Source: RNAcentral